GAUGAACGCUGGCGGCGUGCCUAAUACAUGCAAGUCGAGCGAACGGACGAGAAGCUUGCUUCUCUGAUGUUAGCGGCGGACGGGUGAGUAACACGUGGAUAACCUACCUAUAAGACUGGGAUAACUUCGGGAAACCGGAGCUAAUACCGGAUAAUAUUUUGAACCGCAUGGUUCAAAAGUGAAAGACGGUCUUGCUGUCACUUAUAGAUGGAUCCGCGCUGCAUUAGCUAGUUGGUAAGGUAACGGCUUACCAAGGCAACGAUGCAUAGCCGACCUGAGAGGGUGAUCGGCCACACUGGAACUGGGACACGGUCCAGACUCCUACGGGAGGCAGCAGUCGGGAAUCUUCCGCAAUGGGCGAAAGCCUGACGGAGCAACGCCGCGUGAGUGAUGAAGGUCUUCGGAUCGUAAAACUCUGUUAUUAGGGAAGAACAUAUGUGUAAGUAACUGUGCACAUCUUGACGGUACCUAAUCAGAAAGCCACGGCUAACUACGUG
RNAcentral lists this ribosomal RNA (497 nucleotides) under uncultured bacterium. RNAcentral's name for it is "partial 16S ribosomal RNA". It matches the Rfam family "Bacterial small subunit ribosomal RNA", at positions 28 to 507 of the family's 1533-position model. The record is from RNAcentral.